RNAcentral lists this transfer RNA (61 nucleotides) under Haemaphysalis montgomeryi. RNAcentral describes it as "tRNA-Phe". Lineage: Eukaryota; Metazoa; Arthropoda; Arachnida; Ixodida; Ixodidae. The record is from RNAcentral.
AUCUUUAUAGUUUAUAUGUAAAAUAUUACACUGAAAAUGUAAAGAAAUUUUUUUAAAGAUA